Molecule: small RNA, 429 nt
Filed under: Oryza sativa Japonica Group (Japanese rice)
Lineage: Eukaryota; Viridiplantae; Streptophyta; Magnoliopsida; Poales; Poaceae
Description: sRNA Os04g0435402
Rfam family: MIR2118 microRNA precursor family (bases 232-399)
Source: RNAcentral
GAGGGUGAGCCAGGAAGAGGAAGAGAGACUCUAAGAGCAGUAGGAAUGGGAACAUGAAGGAAAGCCAAAUUAAGCUCUAACCUCUGGUAUUGGAGAUUUGGUCUGAUGAUUUUCCUGAUGCCUCCCAUUCCUAUAGUUCUUAGGUGCUCGUUCCUCUUACUUUCAGCUAACACCAAUUUACUAGAGAAAACAAAAUGUAUCCAUGUCCACAUUUAGAUGCCUUGGCAGUGAGUCGGGAAGAGGAAGAAAGAGGGUCUAAGAAUGGUUGGAAUGGGAACAUGGAGGAAACCUAAACCUUUAGUUUCCAUCUCUGACAAUAGAGGUGGAAAUUUGGCUGAGUGUUUCCCAAUGCCUCCCAUUCCUAUUAUUCUUAAUCACUCCUUCCUCUUCCUUUUGACUUGCUCAAUUGUUUCCGCAGAGAAAACAAAA